Non-coding RNA from Heterocephalus glaber (naked mole-rat), 109 nucleotides. Lineage: Eukaryota; Metazoa; Chordata; Mammalia; Rodentia; Bathyergidae. The record is from Rfam.
GUCUAUGGCCAUACCACCCUGAACGUGCCUGAUCUCAUCUGAUCUCGGAAGCUAAGCAGGGUUGGGCCUGGUUAGUACUUGGAUGGGAGAAUUUUGUGUGCUAAAACUU